CUGUUAGUGUAGUGUUGCCGUACUUCAGUUUCUUUUCAGCUUUUAGAGUAGUACUCAUUCUUGCAGACUUACGACUUACACGCAGGCAGGUAAGUAUAAACUCCCGUGUACGUCGUGUGGAGAGUGAAUUAUUAUUAUCAAAUUCCUAAACACGUCAGUCAAAAUCAUGAAAUUGUUUUCGUUAGUUGUCAUGGUAGUUUCUGUGGGAUUGGCGGCAUCAAAAUGUGGAAAAAAUGAGUACUACCAAAGCGAUACUUGUAUGGAGCACUGUACUUUUACAAUAUCGGCAGACGACCGUUAUAUUCUAGGUACAUGUGUAAUAUCUUCUAAAUAUAAAGUCAAGUAUGGUU
Long non-coding RNA from Myzus persicae (green peach aphid), 350 nucleotides. RefSeq lists it as uncharacterized. The transcript has 2 exons. The record is from RefSeq and is a predicted model, not a curated record. Lineage: Eukaryota; Metazoa; Arthropoda; Insecta; Hemiptera; Aphididae.